This 64-nucleotide transfer RNA is filed under the name Afronurus rubromaculatus. Its description in RNAcentral is "tRNA-Gly". It matches the Rfam family "tRNA". From Rfam's summary of the family: Transfer RNA (tRNA) molecules are approximately 80 nucleotides in length. Their secondary structure includes four short double-helical elements and three loops (D, anti-codon, and T loops). Further hydrogen bonds mediate the characteristic L-shaped molecular structure. tRNAs have two regions of fundamental functional importance: the anti-codon, which is responsible for specific mRNA codon recognition, and the 3' end, to which the tRNAs corresponding amino acid is attached (by aminoacyl-tRNA synthetases). tRNAs cope with the degeneracy of the genetic code in two manners: having more than one tRNA (with a specific anti-codon) for a particular amino acid; and 'wobble' base-pairing, i.e. permitting non-standard base-pairing at the 3rd anti-codon position. RNAcentral also lists the same sequence under 1 other name. The record is from RNAcentral. Lineage: Eukaryota; Metazoa; Arthropoda; Insecta; Ephemeroptera; Heptageniidae.
AUCUGUUUAGUAUAUAAGUAUUUUUGACUUCCAAUCAAAAGGUUUGGGUAACCCAAAAUAGAUA